GAUUAACGCUGGCGGCGUGCAUAACACAUGCAAGUCGAACGAUGAAACUUUAAUGAACCCUUCGGGGAGAAUUAAAGCGGAUUAGUGGCGAACGGGUGAGUAACGCGUGAGUAACCUGCCUUACACAAGGGGAUAGCAUUUGGAAACGAAGAAUAAUACCCUAUAAAACCAUAAAAGCACAUGCAAUUAUGGUCAAAGUGAUAGCGGUGUAAGAUGGACUUGCGUCUGAUUAGCUAGUUGGUGAGAUAAAAGCCCACCAAGGCAACGAUCAGUAGCCGGCUUGAGAGAGUGUACGGCAACAUUGGGACUGAGACACGGCCCAGACUCCUACGGGAGGAAGCAGUGGGGAAUUUUGCACAAUGGGGGAAACCCUGAUGCCGCGACGCCGCGUGAUUUAGAAGGCCUUCGGGUUGUAAAAAUCUUUUGUAUAGGAAGAAAAUGACAGUACUAUACGAAUAAGGUCCGGCUAAUUACGUG
Molecule: ribosomal RNA, 477 nt
Filed under: uncultured bacterium
Lineage: Bacteria
Description: partial 16S ribosomal RNA
Rfam family: Bacterial small subunit ribosomal RNA
Source: RNAcentral